Molecule: ribosomal RNA, 448 nt
Filed under: uncultured bacterium
Lineage: Bacteria
Description: bacterial SSU rRNA
Rfam family: Bacterial small subunit ribosomal RNA
Source: RNAcentral
UCCAGACUCCUACGGGAGGCAGCAGUGGGGGAUAUUGCACAAUGGGGGGAACCCUGAUGCAGCGACGCCGCGUGGGUGAAGGAGCGUUUCGGCGCGUAAAGCCCUAUCGGCAGGGAAGAAGGAGGACGGUACCUGACUAAGAAGCCCCGGCUAACUACGUGCCAGCAGCCGCGGUAAUACGUAGGGGGCAAGCGUUAUCCGGAUUUACUGGGUGUAAAGGGAGCGUAGACGGCGAUGCAAGCCAGAUGUGAAAGCCCGGGGCUCAACCCCGGGACUGCAUUUGGAACUGUGUGGCUGGAGUGUCGGAGAGGCAGGCGGAAUUCCUAGUGUAGCGGUGAAAUGCGUAGAUAUUAGGAAGAACACCAGUGGCGAAGGCGGCUUGCUGGACAGUAACUGACGUUGAGGCUCGAAAGCGUGGGGAGCAAACAGGAUUAGAUACCCGUGUAAC